RNAcentral lists this long non-coding RNA (101 nucleotides) under Canis lupus familiaris (dog). RNAcentral describes it as "lncRNA (ENSCAFG00845019325.1)". The record is from RNAcentral. Lineage: Eukaryota; Metazoa; Chordata; Mammalia; Carnivora; Canidae.
CUGCCAGUCAAUAAUGGUCCUGCCAACAGCUUACACUGUCGGCUGAAACAUUGUGGGAUGCCACACUUGGCCCAAAGGCGGAUGGUACAGCAACAGAUUUC